AAUAUUGUCCCUGAAUUGUGGUACUUUAACUAGUCAAAAAAGAAAAAUUCUAACCAUCAUUGGUUGUUUGUUUAAUUCGUUAAGAAGAAGUGCAAACAUAAAAAGCAAACGAAAUCCUUCAGCAAAACCAAUUCAAAGAAAACCCUCAACUUGGAAGUUACAACUCACAGCCGCAGUGAAGCAACAACCUAAUCCACAUUUAUCAAAGUUACCAGCACAGCAACAGCGAAAGAAGUUGACGGGUGCCAGCACUCAAUGUAAUUUACAGCAACCAUUGUUAAGGGUUUUUGGCUGGCUGCCUGUGCCAUCACCAUCAUCAUCAUCAUCAUGUCUCAAUGCUAAAGUACCCAAAACAAGCAUAUUGCUCUGCGAAGCUGGGCAUCACAAUCAUCUUCAACUAGCCGGCAACUGGAAAAUCCGUCCUCUAUUUUGGUUUGUUUUAGCAGUUGGAAGCAAACCAACAAAGCACCAGAAAAUCCUGCAAAAUCAUUCUGCAACAAUCCUUAGCGACUCCAACUACGGACCAAAUGUUAAUUGAAGGAAGUCCUUAAUUAAAACUAACGCCUUGAUCUCCACUUACACACUACAAAGAUUCACUCAAUUUAUU
Long non-coding RNA from Stomoxys calcitrans (stable fly), 607 nucleotides. RefSeq lists it as uncharacterized. Lineage: Eukaryota; Metazoa; Arthropoda; Insecta; Diptera; Muscidae. The transcript is spliced from 3 exons. The record is from RefSeq and is a predicted model, not a curated record.